CCUACGGGAGCAGCAGUGGGGAAUAUUGGACAAUGGGCGAAAGCCUGAUCCAGCCAUGCCGCGUGUGUGAAGAAGGCCUUCGGGUUGUAAAGCACUUUCAGUGGGGAAGAAAGCCUUGGGGCUAAUACCCUCGAGGAAGGACAUCACCCACAGAAGAAGCACCGGCUAACUCCGUGCCAGCAGCCGCGGUAAUACGGAGGGUGCGAGCGUUAAUCGGAAUUACUGGGCGUAAAGCGCGCGUAGGCGGUCUGAUAAGCCGGUUGUGAAAGCCCCGGGCUCAACCUGGGAACGGCAUCCGGAACUGUCAGGCUAGAGUGCAGGAGAGGAAGGUAGAAUUCCCGGUGUAGCGGUGAAAUGCGUAGAGAUCGGGAGGAAUACCAGUGGCGAAGGCGGCCUUCUGGACUGACACUGACGCUGAGGUGCGAAAGCGUGGGUAGCAAACAGGAUUAGAUACCCGUGUAGUC
RNAcentral lists this ribosomal RNA (464 nucleotides) under Vreelandella stevensii. Its description in RNAcentral is "partial 16S ribosomal RNA". It matches the Rfam family "Bacterial small subunit ribosomal RNA", at positions 338 to 795 of the family's 1533-position model. Lineage: Bacteria; Pseudomonadati; Pseudomonadota; Gammaproteobacteria; Oceanospirillales; Halomonadaceae. The record is from RNAcentral.